UGGUUCCUUAGAUCGUCUCAUCCUACUCGGAUAACUGUGGAAAAUCUAGAGCUAAUACGUGCUUACAAGCCCUGACCUCACGGGAGGGGCGCAUUUAUUAGAUCAAAACCAAUCGGGGCUUGCCCCGUCUGCUUGGUGACUCUGGAUAACUUUUGUGCUGAUCGCAUGGCCUCUGCGCUGGCGACGUAUCUUUCAAG
This 197-nucleotide non-coding RNA is filed under the name Macrostomum lignano. Its description in RNAcentral is "Eukaryotic small subunit ribosomal RNA". It matches the Rfam family "Eukaryotic small subunit ribosomal RNA", at positions 113 to 303 of the family's 1831-position model. The record is from Rfam by way of RNAcentral. Lineage: Eukaryota; Metazoa; Platyhelminthes; Macrostomidae.